This 37-nucleotide ribosomal RNA is filed under the name Fasciola hepatica (liver fluke). RNAcentral describes it as "partial 18S ribosomal RNA". Lineage: Eukaryota; Metazoa; Platyhelminthes; Trematoda; Plagiorchiida; Fasciolidae. RNAcentral also lists the same sequence under 1 other name. The record is from RNAcentral.
GUCGUAACAAGGUUUCCGUAGGUGAACCUGCGGAAGG